Rattus norvegicus (Norway rat) is the source of this 16271-nucleotide non-coding RNA. The record is from RefSeq and is a predicted model, not a curated record. Lineage: Eukaryota; Metazoa; Chordata; Mammalia; Rodentia; Muridae.
CUUCAGACACACCAGAAGAGGGCAUCGGACUCCAUCACAGAUGGUUGUGAGCCAACAUGUGGUUGCUGGGAUUUGAACUCAGGACCUCUGGAAGAGCAGUCAGUGCUCUUAACCGCUGAGCCGUCUCUCCAGCCCCCCGAUAGAUACAUCUUACAGCACCACAUUCCACUUGCAGUGCUCCCAGUGCAUGGGCAUCUUACAUGCAAAGGCCAUGCAGUAUCACCAAAGCAGCAACUGCUCCAGUGCUGCUCGGUUAAACUCAAAGUCUAUUUGGACUCAAUGUAAACUCUCAGCUGGGAAUUCCCCGCCCCCCCACCCCACCCCGAACAGAAACAAGCUCCACCCUUCCGACCACAGAGGCAUGCCAGACACCGUCAGGUAGCUCUCUACCUAGCACCCGAAGCAGACACUGGCAUGGUGUGUGGGAAACACCAGGUAAGGCAGCAGUCAGAGCCAUGGGGUACUAGACGUAUUCAAACAACUUCAACCCUUACUGUCCUGAACUUGGUCAAGUGAGUCGGGCAAACCAUUACAUGCCCCAUGGCCCCUUUCCUGUUGUCUCAGUAUAAAGUAUGUGGCUUCUUGCUCAGCUUCCUCCCGCUCCACUCUGAAACAGGCUCUCACUAUGCAGCUUCAGUUGGCUUUGAACGAACUCUCUGUGUAGAUCAGGCUGGCCCCAAGCUCUCAGAAACACACACCUGCUUCUGUAUUCAAAGUAUGGAGAAGCUGGCUCUGGCUGUCUGUGAGGAUGCAGUCUCUGGGCUCCCUAGGUCCUGUGUCCUGCUUUGCCUUUGCUCUCCAUUCUCACUCUAAACUUGUCCAAGGAAGGUCAGCUACGCUGCCUGGAAACUUCCUCUAGGAGACUGAACUACCAUAUAAGACAGCAUCUCAGGGCUCGUGCAAAAGAGAAAAACCAUUUCGAAGCAACACAUUUCCUCCUUUCCCAUCCUUCAGGAAAGCUCGGCGGCCAGCCUUCUCUGUGUGCACAGAGAAUGUCUGUGCUCUGGCUCCCCACCAUGAUACUGAAGCAGCAGCCCUCUCUGAGCAUUGCCUGAAGCAUUCUGCAGCUUUUCCAAACUUGUCCAAAUUCUACUUCCAGAUGUGCGGGAACCAAUCAAGAGGAUACUCCACCAACAACUUCACCUCACAGCACAACUUCCGAGUUCUUGGACUGUCUGUGACAAAAGUUCUAAGCAAGACAGCUUAAGUGCCAGUGUGUGGACUAGGGCAGAUCAGAAGAUGGCCACCAGGAGCACCUGAGACAGCUGGCUCUUCCCUUUGUCCCUGUUCACGGCCCCUGCUCUCCGAAGUCAGACAGGGCUCCCUUUGUUAGUGUCCCACAGUAGGAAUCUGUUCACAGGUUCCAGCAGGGGGCCCCACCGACCUCCAAGGUGAAUCUCACACAGCCAAGUGCACCAUGAAUCCUGACUCACAUAUCAGAAGGCACCGUAGACAUGAGCCCUUGCAAGACAGGCCAAGGGGAGAGAGAAGAACAUAAAGAACGGACAAAGCUAAAAGCCAUCUUACCCUGAAAUAUCCACACAUUUUGGCCAAUUUUCAUUUUGAUGUUUAAAAAUAAACUAUGUACAUAUUUCAUGUUUACAGACUGGUUAUUUUUACGUGGAUUUUAAACAAGGAACUAAUCAUUGCAAUAGUCUUUUUGUGGAAACUUUUACUAAUCCAACUACUGAAAUCCCUACAUAUUCACUUCACUAAAUGUUGUCUACAGUUAAUGUAAAGUUCAUGUUAGCAUGCUGCUGGUGCAGGAGUAAUUUUUCAAAGUCAUAGAGACAUAAAUGAACUUUAAAAUUUAAAACAUAAAACCACAAUUGAAAUGUAAAAUAUAAUAAAUAGUGAAAACCCAUAAAAAAAGCUAAUGGUACAAAACUGAGAAACUUGAGCCAUUAAGAGCAUUUAAGAAGCAGUACAUAGCUCUGGUGAAGGCACUUGCCCCCAGCAAGAUGAGCAGAAGGUUGCAAAAGAUGAACACCAAGACUGUUAUUUACUGAAGAACCCUGUACCUAGGUAUGGUGUGGCCUGGCCCUUAGCGCACAUCUUUAAUCCCAAACAAUGAUGGAAAAGUUAGUUUGUAGAAGGAAGCAGCCAUGUUUGAAAGUGAUGUCUAAUUGAGUGCCAAAAUGACGAAUCAGAGAAUGAUUUGACAGAAUAGGAUAUGCCCAACUCUGAGAAGAGUGAGAGGAAACGGAAGCUACCUGAGGAGCAGUGCAGAAAGGAGGAAGGAGGCAGUUUUACAGGGACAGCUGUACAGAGAUGAGUUGAAAAGAGAACACACUAGACACAGCUGAAGACAGAAUGAACCAGAAAACAAGGAGCCAGAAGAUUAGAACACACUGCCAAAAUCAGUGUGCGGUCACGCAGAGCAACUCAGUCAGAAGCAGAGGGGGGGGGGGGGGGGGGGACGGGCAGGCCAGAGUGGAUGAGUUAGUGUGGAAGGGAGUUUUGAGUCAGAACAGCUGAGCUGAACCAGCCAGCCGGAGUUCAGAAAGAACUAGAAGGGAGAGCUUAUGCAGCAGGAAGUCAGAGGCUGAGAACACCCUAGGCCCAGGUUAUUAGACUGAGGCAGUGAGCUUCAGAGAAGACAAUUAUAUCAGGCAAAUAAAAACUAAGUUUACGGGGCUGGGGAUUUAGCUCAGUGGUAGAGCGCUUGCCUAGCAAGCUCAAGGCCCUGGGUUCGGUCCCCAGAUCCAAAAAAAAAAAAAAAAAAAAAAAAAAAAAAAGAAAGAAAAAAGAAAAAAACUAAGUUUACAUCAGAUUUCAAUUCUUAGGUCCCACAAUGUAGAAGGAAAGAACAAAUUCUCACAAACUAUCCUCUGACAGCCACACACACAGCACUGCACACUCACACAAAUAAAUACAAUGUAAAAAAGAUAGGAACAGUGAGAGCAGAAUAAAAUGUCUGACUAGCCUACAGAAACUCCAGAGAAUUAUAUGAAGUCAAACAGGUUUGCAAUUUCACUUCCCUGACAAAGAGCACAGCAGGGGGUUUUCUGAGUCGCAGUCUGAGGCAGGUUCUAGGAACCUGAACCACCUCCAUCUCAGCCAACCGGCCAACCGCUUACAGGCGAUUAAGGUCUCGCAUUUCCCUACGGAAGCCCUGCUGCCUCUCCGUCCCUGAGAUGUGCAUCUUUAUCAGCACUGUAACUCUGCCUCCACAGCUCUGUCAUCUCUCUUGUCACAAUGGGGCUGUUCAUCCAGGACCCUGGCUCUCUCUACUAACCACCUGCUUGUCAUAAAGACCUGGAUUCUACUUUUCAUUUGAAUGAAAGCAAGGAACAGCGGCUGAACUUCCCAGAAUUUCAGAUGACCUGGGUUGGUACAGGACAUGACGGCUGAAGAAAGAAGAGAUAUAGUUGAGGGUAUGGCACAUGGAGGAGUAGAAUUUCAUGUUUAAGACCAGCGUGGACGCAGGGAGUUCUAAGCCAUGGUGGACUACACAGAAAAGGCUUUACAACUACUAACGCUACUACUGCUGUCACCACCAACGGUAAUUACAGCCAGCCAACUGCUACCGGCACAAAAUGGAAUAAGGAGCUCCAACUUCAAAUUCCGGGAUUGGAGUGGAAGCCAGGGCCAGCUCUUGGCAUUCAAUCACAGGCUGCCUGUGUGCUCGGUCCAGCGCUUAAAGUUUGUUGAGUGAUAAAACUGUUUCUGCUGCUUUUCUGUAUUUCUGGACUUUUUUUAGAUUGUCAAGAGAUUUUACUUUUUGGCUACAAUCUGGUAAUGAGAAUUAGAGUUUGGCUUCCAGCCAAGAAAGCACCAAUUACAAAAGGCUCCUUUUCUUCCUUUCCAUUCACUGGGGACCCAGUGUGAUUAAUUCUCCAGUUUGAAAAGAGUGUGUACAGUGUCCAGAGCUCAGGACUCAAGUGACACAAAACUGAGUAUAUGCUUUACCGCUGCUGAGGUGGGACCAAGGGCAUUGUCACAGGCUUAUACAUAAACAGAGUAGAAUGUUCCAGCAACGGAAUUCUCGGGGAGUUCCCCCCUAGACACCUGGGUUUCCCCUCCUCUUUCAUCCAGGGUCUGUUCCUCACUUUUCUUCUUAGCUCCCUGCCCUGCAGUUGGCACUGCACCAGAAUCCUCACAUUCUUGAGCAGUGGACUCUAUUUUGUCCUCACCCUUGAGUUUUGUGUUUUCAUUUCAGAAAUUCCCAUGGGAAUCUAGAAAAAAAAAGAGAUGUCAAUUUCUGUAGGAAACAAGGAAAAGCUGAGUGAGAGAGAAGGACAGUGGAGCCUGCGGGGCGGCGGUGCACGUCUCUGAUUCCAGUAUGAGAGGGGCAGAGGCAGGCGGCUGGCGGUAAGUUCCAGGAUGGCCUGGUCUACAUAGCAAAUCCCAGGACAGCCAAGGCUACAUACAAUGUAAGACCUUACCAACCAACCAACCGACCGACCAACCAACCAACCACACACACAGCGAAGCCAGAAUCAGGUCAGAACGUGGGGCCGAUGAGGUCGAUACCCGAAUGAUGACUGGGAAAGACAGAGAAGCUACCAGGACUCGGCUGAAAGGGCGGACUUCUGCUCUCCUGAAAGCAGACAAGCAAACACACUGAAUUUUCACUUCUUUCUUUACCAUUAUUGAUCACAAGGUUAUUGGAGCGAUGGCAUUCAGGUGAGCUCUAUCGGUACUUUCAAUAACAACCUUCACUUAUUUCCCCAUUUAUAGUUUACUUCUAACUUUAUCUUAAUUUCCCCCAUCCUUUGAGUUUAACUUACUUUGAGUAGUUUCUGAAGGUGGAUGCUAGGCCAACGAUAUAAAGAUAACUUUAACAAUAGAGUCAAUUAGUGGUUUACAUUUCCACCUGAAUAUCACCUUUGCAGAAUGCUAUGCACAAUUAAUUCUCAACCAAAAUGCUAAUAUUUUACCCCUACAACUUGAACCUUUGCAUGGCACAAGGCCCUUGCAUAUGUGGUAAUGAAUAUGAUGCCAUGUAAUCAAAAAGACCUGUUGGUGCGCGUGGCCCAGCGGUUAAGAGCCAUGGCUGAUCUUCAAGAGAACCUGGCAACUUUCAGUAACUCCAUUUCCAGGGAAUCAAUCUCAAUAUCUGUCUCUGUCUCUGUCUCUGUCUCUGUCUCUGUCUCUGUCUCUCUCUCUCUCUCUCUCUGACACACAAACACACCACCACCACCACCACCACCACCACCACCACCACCACCACCACCACCGGCCUAUUUAAGUAGAGGAGGCAGGAGAACUGAGGGAGAUGUGAGAAGGGGCCUGGCCAGCAAGAAACAGUGGUUGAGAAGGCAGGAGAAUGGUGGUGAGGCUUGGACAGCUGUUAAACAGCAAGCAGGGAUUUAUGAACAGUAAGGAAACAAUUUUAUACAUGUGUACGUGCCAUGUGCAUGCAGGUGCCUGCAGAAAACAGAAGAGAUAAUUUGGUCCCUCUGAGCUGGAGUUACAGGCAUUUGUGGGAUGUCUGACCUCUUUCUUGUUUGGGAUCCAAACUCAGAUCUUGUGAAAGAACGGCAAGCACUCUUAACUGCUGAGCCAUUUCUCAGGCCCCAAGAGGAAACACCUGAGGUAAUAAAUAAGCCCACAAUCUGGGCAGCAGACUGCUGAGAUCACACAAGGAGAGAGUUGUUAAAAUUUACUGAAAUACGUGUAGUUGUAUAUUACGCUCUUUAGUGAUGUGGUGUGACAGUAAAACACUGCACCCAUGCAUGCUAAUGGCAUGCUCACACGUUAAAUGCUUUAUGAAAUACAGCCAUGUACACAGAAUUACUCUAUUUUUAAAGAUUUAUUUAUUUAUUUCAUGUAUAUGAAUAUACUGCAGCUGCCAGACACACAGGAGAGGGCAUCAGAUCCCAUUUCAGAUGGUUGUGAGCCGCCGUGUGGUUGCUGGGAAUUGAACUCAAGACCUCUGGAAGAGCAGUCAGUGUUCCUAACCGCUGAGCCAUCUCUCAGCCCCACAGCAUUCCUUUAAUGUAAAGAAAAAGUCUGUGCACCAAGUAAUGAGUUCUAAGACACAAGUGUUAUCUAGAACAAACAACUGUUAGUCGAGACUAGCAGUGCCCCCACCGCAGUGAACUUUGUAGUGUAGCAGUCUUGGGUGUCCCACCCACACAGUCCUCUGAUCAUCAAAGCACACAGCACAUGUGUACACUCCCAACUACAUCUGUACACUGCACAGGUUAGUUGGGAAGAUGCUUCCUUUCACCUCAUUUGUUAAGAAAAUUCCUCCUGGUGCUGGAGCUAUGGCCCUGCCCUCACAAACCUGCAAAACAGAACACCGGCAUCUCAGGCCAGGAAACCCACAAAUGCCUGCAAAUGUAGCUCUGAGGGAUCUGACACCCUCUUCUGGCCUCGGAACACUUCCAAUGUUACUCCUGAAACACAUACCAACAAAAUCAAACACAGCCCAUCCCUUUCAUGUGCUCACUUUAUUAAUUAAUGUCCUAUUUAGCUCCCCAAAAGUUAAGCUUACAUUCUAUCUUACAUGACUUUUUACACUCCUAUUCUUGCAGCUGUUUAAGGAUGUAUUUAUUAAAUUAUUGAUUAAAAAUAGUAUCAGAAAGAGGGGGCUGGGCAUGGUGGUCUAUGUCUGUAAUCUCAACACUCUGGAGGCAAAGGAAGGUAGGUUUGGGAGCUAGAGGCCAGCAGAAGUUCCAGGACAGUCAAACUACGGAGAUGUCCCCCAUCCCCCCAACCCCCAUGAGUGAUUCUUUUUCCUAUUUUUACGACUAUGAAAUAUGCCAUUUAAUUCCCUUAUGGAAUAUAUCAGCUAACUAUUAUCUCCCCUAUUGAUUCUUGUCUUGGUUUGUAUUCUUAUCUAAUAAUACUUCUGGGUAGGUAAUUAAUCUUUUGGUUUGUCUGUUUGUUUGUCUGUGUAGCCCAGCUGUCCAGGAACUCAUCACUCUGUACACCAGGCUGGCCUUGAAUUCACAGAGAUCCACCUGCCUCUCUUUCUCCAGUGCUGGGAUCAAAGGUGUGACUGGGAAAGUUAGGGGUGGCUAUGGCAGCAUUUAAAGGCUGAGGAGGACAGGUCCAAAGCCAACUCAGGCUGUGCAGAGAUCUGUUCAGAAGCCAGAAGACCACACCACCAAGGAGAGUGCUGGGUAGGUGAGUACUAUUCUGUUUUAGUUACAGACUUUGAGAACACAAAAAAAUAUUAGAAAUGAGGCAAAGCCUAGCUUGGAGAAGCCAACCAGAAGAUUCAAAAUGGGGAUGCUAUGGGGGUACAGUGGUAGAUUCCACUAGCCUUCUAGAAACAUCUGUUGUAACGGGAUUAAAACAGAAGGAGAGUGGGUUGGGGAUUUAGCUCAGUGCAAGGCCCUGGCAAGGCCCUGGGUUCGGUCCCCAGCUCCGAAAAAAAGAAAAGAAAAGAAAAAAAAAAAAAAAAAAAACAACAGAAGGAGAGGGCAUUUGAUCAAGUGUAUAACAUUUUGAUAAACUAGGAAAAUCCCUCUGAAUUAACUUUCAAGUAGACCCCUGAGUAUAUUAAUAGCUGAUGGUACACUCUGUUAGUCCCAGCACUGCGAGGCUGGGACAGGCGGAUCUCCGAGAGUUCAAAGCUAGGCUUGCUCUACAAAGCAAGUUCCAGGCCACUCAGAUUUAUAUGUGAGAUACCUGGUUCAAAAAAGAAAACAAGGGGUUGGGGACUUAGCUCAGUGGUAGAGCGCUUGCCUAGCAAGCACAAGGCCCUGGGUUCGGUCCCCACCUCUGAAAAAAAAGAAAAAAAAAAAAAGAAAGAAAACAAACAAACAAACAAAAAGUAUAUUUCCCCUAAUUUUUGUUAAUGAAUGGACGGCUUACUAUUAUGGUCCACAGAAAAGAAAAAAAAAAAAAAAAGCAAUUACAUCGGAGUGGACAAGUAGGCAUGUCUCACCAACAGGCAACUGAUGUGGGCUCCCUGAUGCUUGCCCACAGAAAUGUGGCACCUAUCUCCAAGAAUGGAAAUUCAAUAACUUUUAAAAGCCAUUUUAAAUUAUUAGUGUGUGUGUAUGAAUGCAUGUAUGCAGAGGUCAAAGGAAAGCUUUGUGGGUCUCCCUUAGCACCUUUUGGUCUCCAGCUCACACUGCUACCCCUUUACCUGCUGAGCCAUCUCACUAGCCUUUACAAAAGUAUUUUCUUUGAAUUAGAUAUCUUGUAAUUAUAACUGAAUGAGAAUUUUAAGCAAACGAGUAUUUAUGAGUAAUUUACAGGAGUCAGUUCUUACUGUAGAAAUCAUCAGAUUCUCAUUCACUCUUUUCAUCUGUUCUGACCAAAACACGGAGGAAGGUCUGGAGGUAGGUCUGUCUGUCUGUCUGAGGUUUCCUUUUCCCUCCGUUUUGUCUUGAAGCCCUGACGUGAACUUAGGGACUCGAUGACAGAGCAGGUAUUCUGUGGCACUGGCUCCUGCUUACUCCCUGAGUAUUACUUCAGAAUCUGGGAAUCCAGACAGUCCCUGGUCCUGUGCUGGCUGGCUGUCACAGCGGCCAUAUUAACUCCCAUCCUGAGCAGCUUGCCUUCCUCCUGUCCAUGGAGACAGGCCUUCUGGGUCAUCCGGUUUUUGUAAUAGAUGCGGUGAUGGAAAUGUGUGAUUUAGAUUUAUGGGAACUUGAAAAUGUCAAGAAUUUAUUGGGCGGUUUAAGUUUGCAGGAAAAUCAUUACUCAAUUUACAGAGAAAAACAAAUUGAUGAAGAGAACAAUCUAAUUUUCCUCUGAUCAAAAACUUGUUUAGGACAAUUUAUUUAUAAAGCAAAUAUAGAGAAAGGCCAAAAAAGUUAAUGUAAUUUUGACCUAGAAUAAGAAGUUUGUGGACUCACAACUCCAAGACCUCUUUACAGAAGCCGAUCUUAGAAUCUGAGUGUGCCAGGGAAGAGCUGUUUGGCACAAUGCCUUGGUGAGGACACGGGACGGCCACCAAAGGCAAGUUGGCCACCAUGCAUCCCACACACUUGACUCCACCAUGAGUAGCCAGCGCUCUACUGCCUGUCAGGUGCCACACAGACACCAGCACAGUGUAAGACUUUUACACCACAGGUUAGGCCUUCGUUCGCCUCCCUCCUCAGGCACUGAGCUCUGCUUUCCAUUCUGACUACCUUAAGUAGUCAAUUUCAGUUCUUGCCAAAGCUUGCCAUAGUCCUGAACAGUUAGUGCUCCCAUGAAAGUGACACUAUUAGGUCGCUACACUUAGGACCCCCUCCCUCUUCAGGCGCUUCAUUUCUCUGCUGAGGCACAUUGGCUGAAAAUUCAACUUCUAUUUUUUGGGUCAGCAUCAGGUCCAUUUCCUGCUCUAUUUGUACCAAAAAUGUUCCACACCUUUCAUUAUGUCCUUGCUACUCUAUACCAAGGCUUGCUUACAUGCAAGGUUCAUUGUGCCGUGAGUUUAAGCCCUUUAGUUGGAAGGGAAAGAGUUUGAUCUUAUUGAUCAAAUUUAAUAUUUACACUAGACUACAGCAGGUGCUUACUGAAAUUCCAGAACAAUCAAAAGUCCACCUAAGGGCAGGAGAUAGUUGAGACUCUGUCGCUAUGUUAGAGUUAGGACCUUUACUAAACAGAGCACAGUUCUGGAAGUAAAGGCCAGAGCUUAACUACACAUCCAUACUUCACAAUGUUGCUGUUCUGGCCUUGUGCUCCUUCCUCUGAAAUCCAGCUCCAUUUCCAUUCCCAUCUCUUCACAUUUCUUACGGGAGAAGGUGGGCCAUGGAAGGCACACAGGAGAAGAGUGUGAGUAGUGUUUGUCUGUUGGCUUGCGGCAUGUUACGUAACGUCAUCAGAGAAAUGAACUGGAAGAGCAAGCCAUCAGGCAACUCUGCCCUGAGAGAACACAGCUGACUGCAGCGAGACCAUGAGCAUGUUCGCCCAGCUCUUCAGGUAGUUUCUCAGGUGGGUUUGCACUUAACAAGCAUGUCCGCGCUCCUUUUACCAUCAAGUUGAGUGCGGUUUACUCCAAGGUAAAUGCAGUCCAGAUACAGAGGCUUGGAUCACUACAGCCCCAGCUGACAUCCAGAGAAGAGAGUGCAGCACCAACAGCCAGCUUCCCUCACCAACGCUCUCUCUCUGAGUGAGAAGGGUACCAUGAAUUCAGAAACCCAGACGGAAAACCCCUGCUCUGUCAUCUGAGUGCACACCUGGGGCCGACAAAGUGCACGCUACCGAGACAUCACCUCAAGUCAGCCUUCACAAGCACAUCAGGCCAGCAUGGAGCCCCCAGGACUACAGCUCUUCACUUGCCCUUCCCAGGAUUUUUUCCACGCCUGUCUCUAGAAAACUCUCAGAGGAAAGGCAAUUCAGUCACUUCUGGAUUCAAAGGUCUGAAGAUAACAAUACGGUAAGUGCAAAUGAACAUUCACCAAAACAAAUGAAAUCAGAUCACUGUUCAAUUUAAUUCCGGAUACUCACUCUACAAAGAGACGUGAGUAUGGGUCUAAUAACAUCACAGUCAGGCCAGCAGGAUUCUUGGGGGUUUGUGAUGGUAUAAAAUUUGGUUAUUUCCUCCUCCUGUCCUAAAUUAUGGCUGAAGAGAGAUAUCCAAAAGGGUAUUCUGAUUUAUAUAAAUACAGGAUCUGGAGCUGGGGAUUUAGCUCAGUGGUAGAGCGCUUGCCUAGUAAGCACAAGACCCUGGGUUCCGUCCCCAGCUCCGGAAAAAAAAAAAUGUUUAAAAUACAGGAUCUGGGGGCCUAACUCAGGACAGCACAUGAUGGCAUGCACAGUCCCAGGUCUGGUCCCAACACCUAGUAAAGGACACAGUCACCAGGAAGCUUGCACCCUGUCACCAGACCUUGCACACUGUCACCAGAGAAUGCCAGUGUCACUGCCAAUGGAACUGCUCAAAUGUUUCUUAAAACGGGUAGUACUAAAUUAUCAAACUAAGAAAGAAACCAUUUUCUGUAGCCAAAUAUUUGCCUGAAGGGGCCAGUGGCUCAGAAGGUAAAAGCACUUUUACCUGCUGAUUUCAGUUCAGUGCCUGAACCCACAGAGAUAAGAGCUGUCCCCCGAUCUCUCAUUCACCAUCUCUCCUCACUCUCCUUCUCACAGACAUAAUAAAAUUAAAAAUAUAUAUGUACAACUAAGAGAAUAUACACAUGUCAAGAUAUUACCCAGAACAGCUGGGUGUAAGGUAGGCGCCGUAGGAAGUCCCAUGCAUGACACUCUGGCUUCAGCCCACAGGGCCCACCCCAGCCAAAACAAAAACAAAAGCAAUAAGAAAACCCACCAAUACUCGAGACAAAUUUGUAAGGAAUUCUUAAGUUCUUCCCAUUCAUAACACUGAAGACUAUGUGAUUCAGGCUUGAAUAAAAACUGUAGGUCUGACAAGUGUUAGAAUAAUUCCAACAGUUUUUACUCUUUGACCAUUCAAAUCCUGUUCAACUAAAACAGUGUCUGCUGGCAAGUCACAAGAGGGUAAGAGCUGCUAGGCAGCGCUGUACGUCAGGAGACCCUGUGCACCACUACCUCUACCACGGAGGGUCCUACUUUCACUCUUUCUCAGGGUGCCACUUUCUAGGAUGAGCAUUACAACAUGGGUGGGGAACCAAAGGGACAGGGCACUCAGGGUCCACAUGGGGCCGCUCUGAAACCCCACCUGACUUCCUGUGAAACAACUGACUUUAACUCCUCACAUCUGUUUUUUUCAACUAUUUCUUUUUGGAAGUUUUUUUGUUUUUGGAGGGUUGGUUGGUCAUUUUGAAACAGGGUCUCACUGUAGCUCUGGUUGUCCUGGAACCCACUGUGUAGGCUUCGAACUGCCACUGCCUCUGAAAGAAUUCAAAAUAAUCCAAACUGACAUGUGUCGUUAGCAUAAGCUAGAGGUACAAGUCUCUAGUGUAUUCCUACCACAUUCCACCCUCUCUCCCUACCAACCUCUAACCCUGCCUUGUACCUUUGUUACUCCAUAAAUCCCCUAGGAAUUUCAAAUUUUGCAGACAGAAGUCUAGGGUUUCCUUAAAGGUUAUAUGAGUUGAGGAAGUCACACACAGAUGUAACUUAAGAAUCAGGCAAUAAUGGUGCAUGCCUUUAAUCCCAACACAGAGUUCUAGGCCAUCCUGGUCUACAGAGAGAGUUACAGGAUAGCCAGGGAGGGCUUCACAAAGCUCUUCUCUCAAAAAAUCAAAAACCACAAAGAAGACGAAGAAGCAGGCACAAACUAAGCAUGAGGCUCCUAUGAGCUCUCAUCGUCUCUGCGAUGGUUGGGUUGUGUGGCUGACAAAGACAACACCACAGUGCUUCAAAAGUAGCAAGACUCUUAGUCCAUGGCAGCUGUUAUAAUUCGAAGUAUCUUUUGCCCCUGUAAUACACUAGAUUUGUUGUGGGUCAUUAACAAAGUACUCAAGUGGUAGGAAAUAUCUAUAAUACCAAUGCUAGAGAGGCUGAGGCAGGAGGAUCAUGUGGACGACAAAGGGAGUUCGAGGGUAUCUUAAGAAUGAGCCCAGGAGAUGGUGGCAUACACCUUUAAUUCCAGGACUUGAGGCAGAGACUCAGGUGGAUCUCUGAAGUCUGAGGACAACUUGGUCUUCAAAAUGAAUGGGCAAUGAGACCCUGUCGUGAAAAGUCCUUCUGCCACCACUAAAGUCUUAGCAAGACAAUGCACCCAUUUGCUUAGAGCAAGAAAUAUUUAAUAAGAACAACGUGCAAGGACCACCUGUGAUCGCGUCAUCUGGGACAGUGUAGUAGUCAGGUUUUCUAGAGUCACAAAAUGUAGGGAAUGUCUCUAUAUUGAGGGAAUUCAUUGUGAUGACUUACAGUCUGUGGUCCAACUAUUCCAACAACGGACAGCUGUGGAGGGGCAGUCCAAGGAUCAGUAGUUGUUGUCCCACAAGGCUAGCUGUUUCAGCUGGUCUUCUGUAGAAGUGGGUUCCAACAGAUGUGCCGGCAAAUAAAUGCAAGCAGGCGAAGAGGAGCGAAUCUCCCUUCUUCCAAUGUCCUCAUGUAGUUCUCCAGGAGAAGGUGUGUACCACGAUGCCUGGAUCUGGGACUUGUUUUGUCCCAGGCUAAUCUUGAACUCAGAGCUCUCCUUGCCUUAGUCUCCUGGGAUUUAUAGCCACUUUGCCUCAAGAUCUCCAUGCCAAGAUCCAGGUCAGAAACUUUUAUCUCCCAGCCUUAAGAUCAGGAUCCCAGGUGAGCCCUCCAAUUCUGGAUUGUAGUUCAUUCCAGAUAUAUUCAAGUUACAACCAGGAAUAGCCAUUACAGACAGCAAGAGAGGACAAGUUCAAAGCCAGUCUUAGCACAAACUAAAAUGAAAUGAAAUAUUAAAAAUAACAAGGCAUGGUGGCACAUGCCUUUUGCCCCUGUAACAAAAACCACCAAACAAAAGGCAGAGCUUUGAAACGGUGAGGGAAAUGAGCUGAGUGCUAAACUAUGCACCAAUCAGCUUCAGAGUGAAACAUGCUGUACCCACACAAUGGUAUUCCAGGUGCCGAGUAAUCACAACAGAAAACUUUCUUAAAUUUGGAACAAGUUAAUGUGGUGUAGGCUAAAAGGCAACAUUAAGGCAGUCAUAAGCAAUUAACUGACCAAAUGGCUAUAGAGACCAGCAAAAUCAAAGCUAGGGCAAAUGGCGGAGCACAUUAAGGUCAUCCUGGGAGCCUGGGAAUUACUCUCAGGAAACAACUGCUUCUGUAUGCGUUGGACAGUGUUUUAGUGAUGAUCCCAUGGCCAUGAAGAAAACACCAUGCACAAGCAACUCUUAAAAAGGAUGACAGUCGAUUAGGGCUGGACUAGACUUUCAGUGGUUUGGUCCCUUACAGCCUGGCAGCACACAGACAUGGCGCUGGAGAAGGAAGAGUUCUAUAUCUGCAUCCUCAGGCAGAAGGGGGCCUUGUUCCAUAUUGGGUAGAGCUUGAGGAUAGGAGACCUCAAAGCCCACCUCCAUAGUGACACAUUUCCUCCAACAUGGCCACACCUCCUCCUAGUGCCACUCUACAGGAGCCAGGCACGGGAGAUGAUGGAGUCCUUACCCAUCCAAACCACCACAGAUGCAUUGAGCAACAUUUGCAUAUGGAGGAGUUCACAAGCAAAUGUUUACUGGAGAUUUGUUUACGAUGUCUGAGAAGGGGAGGGGUAAGAAGUUUGUACACAGGUCCUUGGUUCCUGAGAUGUCCUGACACGGUCAGGAAGGUUUGUUGAAUCCAUGCUUCAUGAACAUACGUGUACAUCAAAGUCAGAAAGGAUGAAUAGGGAGCUGGGUAGGGCAGAGCGCAAGGGCCUCCAGAGGAGGGCUCAACCAUGGCAGGACAUACAAGGACUGGAUGACAUGCACCGGAAGAGGCACUGAGUACUUCUCCAACACAGACUUCUCCUGGGCAGGAAGCAGCACAAGGACUGCAGCUGUCUUCCUGCCUCAUCCAUUCUCUGUACUGAUGUCACUGGUUUAAUCCUCAGCAGCUACUUGGUUAAGAGCACUGACUGCUUUUCCAGAGGUACCGAGUCCAAUUUUCAGCACCCACCUGGUGACUCACAGCCAUCUGUAAUGAGAUCCGAUGCCCUCUUCUGGUGUGUCUGAAGACAGCAACUGUGUACUCAAUCUUGCAAAGAAAAGGUUCUCAGCAUCAGGGGUGGGAUGGGGUGGAACUAGUAUCAGUAAGACCUACUUAGGUGCAGAAUGUGUGGGAACUGUAGAAUAUCGGGUAGCCAAUCAUGGUGUUACUCCAGCAAACUGUUUCCUAAACUGCCAAGCUACAGUUCCUCUAACCAGAUUCACACGACCAAAUCAUCUUUUAGGAGUAAACGGUACAGUGACUUGUACUGUAGUCACGGUAUUUAGAAAACAUUACUACCUUCAGAACAUUUCAUAACCUCCAAAGAAAACUCUCCACACUAGAGUUCCACUGCACUUUCUUCCGAUGUUUCCUAAAAACACAGGCAGGAGUUUUGAGAUUUUCACUUAGUGUGUUUCCAAGGUUUAUCGGCAGGUUCGUCAUUUCAGGACUGAAUAGACAAUUCCCAGUGCCACAGCGCACUGUCUAAGCACAGCAGAUGUCAGCUAACAUGUCUACCAUGGUGGUAAAUGGCACACUGUACAAAAGCCUUUCAAAGUCACAAUCCCACAGGGACUAUUCUAAAAAACUGUUCACUUCUUUAUGCCAAAUUAAGAUUUCUCAGGAGCCAGUCCUGGUCCUUGUGUGUGCAACAACUUUAAUCCAAUACUUGGGAGGCAGAGGCAGGAGGAUCUCAGCGUUCAAAGCCAGCCUGGGCUACAGAGCAGUGAACUAAGCCAACUAAGGCUACAAAGUGAGACAGUCUCAAUGCAUCUCCAACUUCUUUUCUCAAAGACUUUACCUAUGAGCACUCUGUCUGCAUGUACACCUGCAUGCCAGAAGAGGGCAUCAGAUCACAUUACGUGUUAACUACUGUGUGGGUGCUGAGAAUUGAACUCAGGACCUCUGGAAGAGCAGUCAGUGCUUUUAACCACUGAGCCAUCUCUCUAGUCCCAGUUUUGUUUUGUACAAAAGACAGACAGUACUACUCAACUACUGACAGAAUGAUCAGUAGACAAACAUCAAGAAGUUACACACAGUAUAAAAAGAAUCCUAUUUAAAUUACUAGAACACAUGGCACAGGCAUGAGAACUGAUCUGUUCUCUCGAUAACUUCUUGGGUUUAGUCAAUUACAUGAGAAGCCAUAUUUAAUCACAGAGCACAUGGGCUGGAGAGAUGGCUCCGUGGUUAAGAGCACUGACUGCUCUUCCAGAGGUCCUGAGUUCAAAUCCCAGCAACCACAUGGUGGCUCACAACCAUCUGUAAUGGGAUCCGAUGCCCUCUUCUGGUGUGUCUGAAGACAGCUACAGUGUACUUAUAUAUAAUAAAAAAAUCAGAGCACAUACACACCACCACAGGUCUUUAUGUGCGAGCUAGUUUUAUGUCAACCUAAUACAAGCUACGCUUUUGGGAAGAGGACCUUAACUGAGAAGAUGCUUCUAUCCGAAGCCUGUGGGGCAUUUUCUUGAUGACUGAUGCAGGGCGGCAGCAGUGACUUCACUCCAUGCAGGUUGGUUUGUAGUGGGUACAGGAGAGCAAAAAAACGAAACGGGGGGGCGGGGGGGAGCAAAAAACUAAAGCCACAAGGAAGUUAGUAGGCAGCUGUCCUCCCUGAACCUCCGUAUGUCUGCCCCGACUUCCCUGAAUGAUGGACUAUGACCUGUUACAUGAAAUAAACCCACAAAGUUGCAAUUUUCUAGUGAUGUUUGUCAAAGCAAUAGAAGUCUACUUAGGCCCUUCACGCUAGGUCCAUUUGUGUAGGAGAGGAGGAAGUCAGAGAACCAUCUAAAAACCCCGGAAGCUCAGAGUAGGAGUGGAGUGGCAGGGAUAUUAAAUAAGACUAUAUCAUUACAA